GGUUAACGCUGGCGGCGUGCCUAACACAUGCAAGUCGAACGGUUCUAAGCGCGAGCUUAGGAUAGUGGCGAACGGGUGAGUAAAAGGUAGGAAUCUACCCCUUGGACGGAGAUAGCUACUGGAAACGGUAGGUAAACUUCGAUAAGCCCGAGAGGGGAAAGUGGUGAGACAGCCGAGGGAUGAGCCUACUCUCCAUCAGGUAGUUGGUGAGAUAAAAGCUUACCAAGCCGAUGACGGAUAACCGGUGUGAGAGCAUGAACGGUCACAAGGGCACUGAGAGACGGGCCCUACUCCUACGGGAGGCAGCAGUGGGGAAUCCUGGACAAUGGGCGAAAGCCUGAUCCAGCGACGCCGCGUGGAGGAAGAAGUCCUUCGGGAUGUAAACUUCUGAACUAGCCGAAUAAAAGGCCUGUGGACACACAGGAGAAGAAAGUAGGCUAGGAAAAGUCCCGGCUAACUACGUGCCAGCAGCCGCGUAAUGCUACGUAGA
Molecule: ribosomal RNA, 490 nt
Filed under: uncultured bacterium
Lineage: Bacteria
Description: bacterial SSU rRNA
Rfam family: Bacterial small subunit ribosomal RNA
Source: RNAcentral